This 253-nucleotide ribosomal RNA is filed under the name uncultured bacterium. Its description in RNAcentral is "partial 16S ribosomal RNA". It matches the Rfam family "Bacterial small subunit ribosomal RNA", at positions 524 to 776 of the family's 1533-position model. The record is from RNAcentral.
GACAGAGGGUGCAAACGUUGUUCGGAAUUACUGGGCGUAAAGCGCGUGUAGGCGGUCUGCUAAGUCGGGUGUGAAAGCCCUGGGCUCAACCCAGGAAGUGCACUCGAAACUGGUAGGCUAGAGUACUGGAGAGGUUGGUGGAAUUCUCGGUGUAGAGGUGAAAUUCGUAGAUAUCGAGAGGAACACCGGUGGCGAAGGCGGCCAACUGGACAGAUACUGACGCUGAGACUCGAAAGCGUGGGGAGCAAACAGA